This 833-nucleotide ribosomal RNA is filed under the name Circinaria leprosescens. Its description in RNAcentral is "mitochondrial SSU rRNA". It matches the Rfam family "Bacterial small subunit ribosomal RNA", at positions 344 to 1173 of the family's 1533-position model. Lineage: Eukaryota; Fungi; Ascomycota; Lecanoromycetes; Pertusariales; Megasporaceae. The record is from RNAcentral.
GGAGGAAUGUAUAGCGAAAGCUAGUUGCAUUAAAUUCGAUUAAUUCGAAGUUAAUGCAUCAUCGACUAUGUCGAAUAAAGUUCUAGGUAGAGUUAUGAUAAUGACAUUUUCUAUCUAUGUGUCUUGACCAAAUCACGUGCCAGCAGUCGCGGUAAUACGUGGAAGACUAGUGUUAUUCAUCUUUAAUAGGUUUAAAGGGUACUUAGACGGUAAAUUUAGCCCAAAUAAAAACAAAGGGUACUAAUUAUACUAGAGUUUUAUAAGAGGGGGGUGUGUACUAGUGAGUGUAGAGAUGAAAUUCUGUCAUACCAUUAUGACAGGCAACGGCGAAAGCAACCUUUAUAAAAAAACUGACGUUAAAGGACGAAGGCUUUGUGUCACCAACAGGAUUAGAUACCCAAGCAGUCUUAGCAGACAAUUCUGAAUGCCAUAGAUAAGAAAUCCAUAGAUAUGGAAGAUAACAUCUUCUUUUCUUUUUCUUUUUUGAUUGCCCUAAAAUGAAAGAGUCUAGAUAUAAAUAUUAUUAUUUUAAUCUAGAAUUUAUUUUUUUUGUCUAUAAAUGAAAGUGUAAGCAUUCCACCUCAAGAGUAAUGUGGCAACGCAGAAACUGAAAUCAUUAGACCGUUUCUGAAACCAGUAGUGAAGUAUGUUGUUUAAUUAGAUGGUCCUCCAAAAACCUUACCACAAUUUGUAUAUUAUUAGCUUAAUACAAGAGUUGCACGGCUGUCUUCAGUUAAUGUCGUGAGAUUUUGGUUAGUUCCAUUAAAUUAACGUAAACCCUUACUUUAUUUUAUAUUAUAAAGUAGCUCACCGCUAUAUUGGAUAUGAUAAGA